GAAUUUUGGACAAUGGGCGCAAGCCUGAUCCAGCAAUGCCGCGUGAGUGAUGAAGGCCUUAGGGUUGUAAAGCUCUUUUACCCGGGAUGAUAAUGACAGUACCGGGAGAAUAAGCUCCGGCUAACUCCGUGCCAGCAGCCGCGGUAAUACGGAGGGAGCUAGCGUUGUUCGGAAUUACUGGGCGUAAAGCGCGCGUAGGCGGCUAUUCAAGUCAGAGGUGAAAGCCCGGGGCUCAACCCCGGAACUGCCUUUGAAACUAGGUAGCUAGAAUCUUGGAGAGGUCAGUGGAAUUCCGAGUGUAGAGGUGAAAUUCGUAGAUAUUCGGAAGAACACCAGUGGCGAAGGCGACUGACUGGACAAGUAUUGACGCUGAGGUGCGAAAGCGUGGGGAGCAAACAGG
RNAcentral lists this ribosomal RNA (400 nucleotides) under uncultured bacterium. RNAcentral's name for it is "bacterial SSU rRNA". It matches the Rfam family "Bacterial small subunit ribosomal RNA", at positions 359 to 776 of the family's 1533-position model. The record is from RNAcentral.